Molecule: long non-coding RNA, 241 nt
Filed under: Lathyrus oleraceus (garden pea)
Lineage: Eukaryota; Viridiplantae; Streptophyta; Magnoliopsida; Fabales; Fabaceae
Description: Pisum sativum (pea) long non-coding RNA (PSAT_LNC001687)
Source: RNAcentral
UUUUUUUAUUUUUUUCAUUCAUUCAAAAAUUCAUAACUCAUUGAUUAAUGAUCCAAUUGACCUGGGAUUUUUUGCAUGUUGUUCCUCAUGAUGUCUAGUAUUUUAUGAGAUUUUUUUCCAGAAAUUGUGCACGGAUGGAAUUUGUUUUGGCUUAGGGAAUGUUCACAUGUGUGCUACCUUGUACCUUGCUUGCAAUUUGCUUUGUGAAAUGAUGAGAUUUAAUCCAAUGCUCUUGAAACUU